CUCAGCAGGUCUAGUAAACAGUCUGUUACACAGUCACUCAGCAGGUCUAGUAAACAGCCUGUUACACAGUCACUCAGCAGGUCUAGUAAACAGCCUGUUACACAGUCACUCAGCAGGUGGGCAGCAGGUCUAGUAAACAGCCUGUUACACAGUCACUCAGCAGGUCUAGUAAACAGUCUGUUACACAGUCACUCAGCAGGUCUAGUAAACAGCCUGUUACACAGUCACUCAGCAGGUCUAGUAAACAGCCUGUUACACAGUCACUCAGCAGGUCUAGUAAACAGCCUGUUACACAGUCACUCAGCAGGUCUAGUAAACAGUCUGUUACACAGUCACUCAGCAGGUCUAGUAAACAGUCUGUUACACAGUCACUCAGCAGGUCUAGUAAACAGUCUGUUACACAGUCACUCAGCAGGUCUAGUAAACAGUCUGUUACACAGUCACUCAGCAGGUCUAGUAAACAGUCUGUUACACAGUCACUCAGCAGGUCUAGUAAACAGCCUGUUACACAGUCACUCAGCAGGUCUAGUACACAGUCUGUUACACAGUCACUCAGCAGGUCUAGUAAACAGUCUGUUACACAGUCACUCAGCAGGUCUAGUAAACAGCCUGUUACACAGUCACUCAGCAGGUGAGCAGCAGGUCUAGUAAACAGCCUGUUACACAGUCACUCAGCAGGUGGGCAGCAGGUCUAGUAAACAGCCUGGGUGGGGAGGGAGGGGGGGGGGGGGGGGUCAGUGGUUAUAUCAUCUCCUCUAAUAUACAAUUACCUUCAGAAACCAACCAAGUGAUGGAUGGCUCCUCAAAUACAGGCCAGAAAACUCAUUCUGCAGAUGGAUGAUGAUGAUGUGAACUAUGGCCAGACAGUGAUCAGCUGUGAGAUGUGCUCUACUGUCCUCAUAUACUCCAGCUAGUUAAGUCAGUGUACCUUUUUAGUGGCACCUGUGUCAUGGUGGACUGUGGAGUCUCAGAGAUGCAGAGGGUUCUUAUGAAGGCCGACUCAGUGUCCCACCCUGAUCUGUUUCACCUGUCUUGUGCUUGUCUCCACCCCUCCACCAGGUGUCUCCUAUUCUCCCCCCAUUAUCCCCUGUGUUUUUAUACCUGUGUUUUCUGUCUGUCUGUUGGAAGUUUUUCUGGUUUUGUCAGGUCUUACCAGUGUGUUUAUCAUUUUCUACAGUUCGGUAGUUCUUGUUUUCUAGUCUUCUAGACCUUUCUUCCUGUCCUGACCCUGAGCCUGCCUGCCAUUCUGUCCCUGAUUGACUCUGCCUUGGAUUACGAACCUCUGCCUGCACUCGAACCUGCACUUUUGCCUACCCCUUUUGUUAUAAUAAAUAUUCUGAGAACCGAACUAUCCGCCUCCUGUGUCUGUAUCUGGGUCAUUUUUCCUGAGUCGGGAUACUCAGCUCAGCAGGCUUCACUGAAGGGUUUGACAAAGCACUGAGGAACAAAAUAAUGGCGGAGUCCCAAAUGACCAUUACAAGGGGCAUCACGAUCUCCAAAACGUUAGUCAAGCCUAUUAGUCAAUUCUGACAGACACAAACCCUAUUAGUUCUAGUGGUGUUGGAAGAAUGCAAUGCUACCACUUUGUUGGAGGUACAAUGGAACACAUCCACUUUAACAAUAUAAUUGGUUAGUAAUACGCCUUCAAUGCCAAGAA
RNAcentral lists this long non-coding RNA (1657 nucleotides) under Oncorhynchus mykiss (rainbow trout). RNAcentral's name for it is "lncRNA (ENSOMYG00000048148.1)". Lineage: Eukaryota; Metazoa; Chordata; Actinopteri; Salmoniformes; Salmonidae. The record is from RNAcentral.